AUGAACCUCGUGCGGGGCGUCGCCGAUCUGCUCCGCAAGUCGCCGCAGCCAGGGCCGCCCGCGCCCCCCUCCCCCUCCGUCCGCGGCGGCUCCUUCCGCGGCGCCGACAUCGACGACGCCCCCGCGCCCCGCGUCGUCUUCAGUGAUAGCACUGAGGAGGGAGUCUUAAGUACACUUUGGCAGAAGUACGAGAAUGCCCAUGAUAAGGAGGAAAAGGAGAAAUCACUGCAAAUUUUUGUCUUACAAUUCGUACAAACAUUCAGAGACUGGGGUCCAUACCAUAUUGAAGAAUUGGUUAUGCAAGAAUUGGGAUCUGAUGAAACAGUCGUUGGAUGCUCUUAUGGGCAUCCUUCUGAGGUCAUUCUUAUUCUGAUCCAGGAAAUUUCUCUAAUAACUUCAACUAUCACUGAAAGUGGCACCAGUCCAGAAUCUUCUCCAAAGCAUUCGGACCAACUAGAACCCCUGGAAUUAAGCGCUGAAAGAUUGCAUGUCCUGGAGUGCUUGACUAUUCUGACUCGCUCCGUGCAUAAUUGUAGAGUAUUUAGCUAUUAUGGUGGCGUGCAGAAGGUUACUUCUCUAUUAAAAGCCGCUGUUGAUCAGCUGAAAGCCUUGAACAGUUUGCAUGCUGUAGAUGACCAAUCUUCAGAUCAAGCAGUAGAAAAUACAAGGAUGAUGCUAAAGAUACUCAUAUGCAUAAUCACAAUAAUUUCAAAUUUCAUGAAGUUGGAACCAACUGCUACAAGGGACCCCUAUUUUGUCGAUACUACUAAAUAUGUCCGAUCGAGCAGUUAUUUGGCUACGGUUUCUCCAAGUAUUCCAGAAAACACCAUUCCUGAUGCACUUCAACAUUGGCAGCAAAAGGCUAUUAUUCUUGUGCUGGAAGCUGGUUGUGUCAAUCGGUUAGUAGAACUGUUACGGGUCAUUCAGAGGCUGAAUUUGAAAGAGCAGUGGACUGAUCUCUCACUUCAUUUUACCACUUUGUGCACCCUUAGAUCAACUAUAUCUGGUACCCAUGCACAGAAUCAUUUCAGAAGCAUUGGUGGGCUGGAAAUUCUACUAGAUGGAUUAGGACUUCCUUCAAAUAAAUUUUCAGUUUCAAAGCAUUCAUCUAUAUCAAGAGAUGAAAGGGGUGAAAUUCUUCUUCUGCAGCUACUAUAUCUGGAAAUUCUGAGUGAGGCAGUAUUUGGCAAUGUCAACAACUUGGAAUUUUUAUGCGAAAAUGGAUUGGUGCAUAAAUUUGCAAAUAGCAUCAGUUGGCCUGCAUUUAUGAUUCAGGAGUCUCACCGGCAAAAGGAUACUACAAAAACUCUUCUUGCAUUAAAUUCUAUCUCUGGUCCAGUUCAUUUUCUUAAAAUAACAGAAUGGAAUGACUAUUCUCUAAAGUUGAGCAUUGCCCUUUGCUCUUUUAUUCUCCCCUCAAAUGUCGUAAAAUGCUGUUCUGAUGAAACUGCUAUCAACCAAAUUUCGGCAUCCAUCCCAUCAGCUUAUCAGGAGCAAUCUGUUAGAUGGAUGAUAAGGGUUCUCCUAACAGUCUUUCUUUGCAUCAAAGCUUGUGCUUGUGAAUCGGAAUUACCAAGCCAUAUAAAGAUAUUAGCCAAAACCAUUCAAAUUUACACGAUCCGUACAUUCAGAAGGGUUCUUGUUUCAGCGCCAGCUCUACUCACAGCUUUUCGAGAGGAAGGUGUAUGGGACUUGAUAUUCUCCGAAGACUGUUUCUAUGUUGGGUCAUCUGUGGAAGACAUCCAAUUUCAUAUUGGUACAGAGAACCAAAAUGACAAUGUCAGAAAUAAUAGGACAGCAACUGAUUCUCAAAGCUCAUAUCGGACUGAUGUUAACAUUCUUCAAGUGGAAGCUAUUUCCUUUCUGGAAUUUGCUGCGACACUUAAUGAAAACACAUAUAAUCUGCCAGAAUGCUCAGCACUAGUGGAUGCACUUGAGCAUUGCGUUUCAGAUGCGGUGGUGGCCAGCAUUCUUCUUAAAUGCUUUCGUGUUAUUCUACAACUUGCCACAGAACAAACUUUAGAUUCAUUCAUAUCCUUGGAUGCAAUCACUAGAGUCCUUAAGGUCGCAUGCCUUCAAGCACAGGGACUACGAAACUCCAGGAAUUUGCCUCGUCCUGAAAUUACCAUCGAUAGAGAUGGUUCUCGGACAGAAAAUAUUGAGAUGACUUCACCUGAGGACAGAACUGAUCACACUCUUACAUGCCUAAAAUUAGGUGUAAACCUCCUUAAGGAUUAUGUAACUAUAUCUAGUGAUGGAAGAAUUCUAGUUUUGCACAAUGCUGAAUGUAUUGAGUGUUUAUUCAACUUAUUUGAAGAAGAGAGCCUACGGAAACUAGUACUGGAGCAAGUUCUUGCCUUAUUUAGGUUGCCUCCAUCCUCAGCACGAGAUCAUGCUGCAAAGUUGCAUCUAUGCUCCAAAUAUUUAGAGAACUUCACACAAGCAAAUGAAAAUGAAAAGGUCAAUUCGGAAUUGUUAAUUGAUCUACUGGUCAGCAUGAGAGAGAUCAUUAUGAUGGACCGCAUGUACUAUCAAAAUCUAUUUCGCAACGAAGGGUGCUUUCUGCAUAUUAUCUCUUUGUUAAAUGGAACUUUCAAUGAGGCAACUGGUGAGCGCUUGGUACUUAAUGUCCUUGAGACGUUAACCUUACUGCUUGAAGGAAAUAAUGCCUCAAAGGCCGCAUUCAGAGUGCUAGUUGGUGUGGGUUAUCAAACAUUACAGAGCUUGCUAUUGGAUUAUUACAAAAUGUUGCCAAGUGAGAGGCUCUUGGAUGCAUUGCUUAAUAUGCUAGUUGAUGGGAAAUUUGAGAUAAAUGAGAAAACAACUAUAAAGAACGAAGACGUUGUUGUAUUACUUUUGAACAUUUUACAGAAGAGCAGCACAUCACUUCAGCAUUAUGGGCUUGUUGUAUUGCAGCAGUUGCUGAAGCAAUCCAUUACAAAUAGAACUUAUAGUUUCAGAGCAGGGUUGCUUAGUAUUCUUCUUGAUUGGUUUUCAAUAGAAGAGAAGGAUGAUACAGUGAAUGUAAUUGCAGAGUUGAUUCAGAUUAUUGGCGCACACAGCAUAUGUGGGAAAGAUAUUCGGAAAAUCUUUGCCCUCUUACGCAGCGAGAAGAUUAGUGCCAAGCAGAAGCACACUUCUUUGCUUUUGAGAAGUCUCAGCCACAUGCUCAAAGAAAAGGGCCCAGAAGCUUUUUUUGAGUUCAGUGGCCAUGAUUCUGGUAUAGAAAUAAAAUCUCCAUUUCAAUGGCCUUAUAAUAGAGGACUAUCUUUUUCUUGCUGGUUGAGGGUAGAAAACUUCCCAGAAAAUGGUAUGAUGGGCCUUUUCUCCUUUUCCACAGAAGAUGGAAGGGGGUGCUCAGCCAUGCUUAGCAAAAGUGCUCUAGUAUAUGAGUCUAUCAAUAAAAAACAUCAGUGUGUUUUGUUACAACUCAAGCUCCCACCAAAGGAGUGGAAGUUCCUUUCUGUUACUCAUACAAUAGGAAGGGCUUUUUCCGGAGGAAGCCAGCUGAGAUGCUAUGUUGAUGGGGAGCUAGUAUCGUGUGAGAAGUGUAGGUAUGCAAAAGUCAACGAGGUAAUGACCCGCUGCACCAUCGGUACAGAAUUGAUGCCUCUUGGCGAUGAACCUAAUUCUAUUGGUUUUGAAAGGACUUUCGCCUUUACUGGUCAAAUGGGCCCAGUUUAUGUGUUUUCUGAUGCUCUCUCCUCAGAGCAAAUAAAAGGCAUAUAUAAUCUGGGACCAAGUUAUAUGUACUCCUUCCAUGGCGACGAUUCAUUGUACAGGGGAAUUUUGGACGCACGAGACGGCAUCUCAUCAAAGAUUAUUUUUGGUCUUAAUGCACAGGCUAGUGACAGCAAGACUUUGUUCAGUGUGUCAUCCGCACUUGAUAGUGCUGACAAAAGCACAGUUGAAGCAACAAUCAUCGGCGGGACAAAGUUAUGUUCACGACGCUUGCCACAGGAUAUUAUUUAUUGUGUUGGAGGAGUCUCUGUAUUUUUUCCUCUCUUCACUCAAUUUUGUGACGCUGUAACUAAUGGUGGGCAAUAUUGUGAUACAUCUGUCAUCAAUGAUAAAUUGGCAGCUGAAGUUAUUGAGCUUGUCGCGUCUGUUCUGGAUGGAAAUGUAUCAAAUCAACAACAGAUGUAUCUUCUUUCUGGGUUAUCCAUUCUGGGUUUCUUGCUUCAAGCUGCUCCACCUCAGCUGUUAAAUAUGAAAACACUUCCUGCAGUGAAGUAUAUGUUCGAUGUGUUACGGAACUGCGGUAUGUCUAAAGUUCUUCUGAAAGAUGCUAUUUCACGAGUUUAUUUGAAUCCAGAAAUAUGGGUAUAUUCAAACUAUGAAGUGCAGAGAGAUCUUUAUAUCUUACUGAUACAAUAUUUUGAAACGGAUGGAAGAUUUUUACCACUACUAUGUGGACUUCCUAGGAUUAUUGACAUUGUGCGCCAAUAUUAUUGGGAAAAGAUAGAUUCUAAGUGUGUUAUUGGUUCAAAGCUGCUGCAUCCAAUUACUAAACAAGUUAUUGGAGAGAGACCUAAGAUAGAAGAAAUCCGCAAGCUUCGGCUUCUGCUUCUGAGUUUAGCAGAAAUGAGCAUAAAGCUCAAAAUUUCUCCAGCUGAUAUAGGAGCUCUUAUAUCAUUUGUUGAGAGGAGCCAAGACAUAGCAUGCAUCGAGGACAUACUGAACAUGAUACUUCGCGCUCUUUCACAUGAUUCACUUUUGUCAUCUUUCUUGGAACACGUAAAUGUCCUCGGUGGCUGUUGUAUUUUCUUAAAUCUUCUUAAGAGGGAAUUCGAGCCAAUCAGAUUGUUGGGGCUUCAGCUCCUUGGAAAGCUUUUGGUCGGGAUUCCAUCAGAGAAAAAAGGAGCAAUAUUAUUUACCUUACCCACAGGAAAAUAUAGAAAAGAAAUGACAUCAGCACCUCAGUUGUUUUUCCAUGUAAUAUCUGAAAGGCUCUUGAGAUUUCCACCCUCAGAUAAUUCAAGUGCAACUUUUUUCGAUGUUCUUCUUGGUAGAACCAGUCCAAAACAGGUCCUACAAGAACAUUCUCAGUCUGAUCCAUCAAAAGAUACAAAUUCCAACGCUUCAAGCUUGGAUCACUUUUUCCUUCCUCGGAUUUUGGUUUGCAUCUUCAAAUAUAUGCAGUCUUGUCAAGAUUCUUCAGCUCGCACGAGAAUCUUAACUAAGCUUCUUGGUUUACUCUGUUCAAACCCUACGAACAUCGAGGCAUUAAUGGAGCAUGGUUGGAACUCUUGGCUUGAGACAUCGACAGAUCUCGAUGUAAUUAAGGAAUACAAACCAGCUCCUAAAGCUGAGCUGGACAAUGUGGAGAUCAAUGAACUAAUUCUUGUGAGGAAGUUGUACUCGUUGGUCCUUUCAUACUACCUGAGCUCUGUAAAAGGUGGCUGGCACCAGCUUGAAGAUACAGUUCAUUUUUUCCUUCUGAAAUUUGACCAGGGACAACUAUCAAGUUCUUAUUUGCUGCGGGACAUACUCGAUGAUAUAGUUGGGAGCCUGCUUCAGACAUCUUCGGAAGAAAAUAUUUUCCUUUCACAGCCUGGCUGUGAUAAUGUCUUACAUCUUUUGAAGCUUAUCCAGGAGUUGCUUGUCAAUCAAAUAGGAAUUAAACUCUUGUUUCCAUCUCCUAGCACUACAGACGAAUCUUCAUCCGAUGACAAAUGGAAAGAAGAUAUUAAGCUUACAGUAAAUGAAAUUUUAGAUGCUGAGACCAAUGGCCAGUGUAGAAGGUUUCCUUGGAGCUCGUGCCAAUUUGCUGCUGGGGAUGAAGUAAGUGAUGAUUGGUGGAGCUUCUUUGACAAGGUAUGGAGUAUUAUAUGUAAUUUGAAUGGGAAAGGACCAAGCAAAUUGAUCCCGAAGAGUCCCCAAAAUGUUGUAGCCCCGUCCCUAGGGCAAAGGGCACGUGGAUUGGUCGAGUCUCUGAAUGUCCCUGGUGCAGAAAUGGCGGCUGUUGUUGUAUCCAGUGGUAUUGCAAAAAUGAAUAUAUUUGCUGACAGAGCAACGAUAUUGAGGGGAGAGAUAUUCCCGAGAAUUUUCUUUCACCUUGUUAUUCUGUACCUCUGCAAAGCUGGAUUGGAAAAUGCAUCCAAGUGUGUUCUGCAGUUCAUGUCAUUGCUUCCCUUGCUCAUUGCAGACGAUGACCAAAGCAAAAACAAGCUGCAUUUUCUAAUAUGGUCUUUACUCGUUGUGCGAUCUCAGUAUGGGCAACUUGAUGAUGGUGCACGCUUCCAUGUUUUAUCACACUUGAUUCUCGAAACUAUCAUAUAUGGCAAGGCCAUGCUUGUUACUAAUAUCUUGGGCAGAGAUGAUUCUAUUGAAGUCAACAGCAAUAAAGAGGCUGGGUUCAUUCUUAGUUUUAUACAGAAGGAUCGUGUUCUUGCCACGGCUGCUUAUGAGGUUAAGCAUAUGCAUGCUGUUCAGGCUGAUCGCUUGAGGAAUCUACAAAAACUAAACUCUAAACUUAACGAGCGUUUUACUAAAGAGACACAACUAGUGCAGAUCGUUGAUGAUCAGAUACAUCUCUCCAUCAGUUCUGCACUUUCCUCAGAUGACAGUAGAAAAGCAGCUUUUCAACUUGCUUUUGAUGAGGAUCAGCAAAUUGUUGCAGAUAAGUGGAUACAUAUUUUCCGUGCUUUGAUUGAUGAGAGGGGACCAUGGUCUGCAAACCCUUUUCCGAAUGAUGCUCUGACUCACUGGAAACUUGACAAAACAGAAGAUAAAUGGCGGCGGAGGUUCAAGCUCAAGCGGAAUUACAUGUUUGAUGAACGUCUUUGCCAACCUUCAUCCUCUAGGAAUGAAAUUACAGAGCCAUUUUUUGACCAACCUUCUUUUAGCACCAAAGUUCCUGAGAAAAUGAAGCGAUUCCUUCUGAAAGGCGUGCGAGGAAUCACAGAUGAUAGUGGUUAUGGACUAUUUGAGGACACUAAUGAUACAAGUGAAUCUUCCCACAGUCCUUCAGAGAACCAAAACCAGAAUAAUGCUGCAGAUUCCUCAGAUCAUCGCACUACUGUUCAGAAUAAGAAAGACACAUCAUCUACUAAUGGAGAUAGUGAUUAUACCAAGGUGCUAUGUUCAGUUCAUUGUGUUCUUGUAACCCCAAAGAGAAAACUGGCAGGGCAGUUAAAUAUCACACGAACUGUUCUACAUUUUUCUUUUGAUUUUUUGGUUGAAGGGACUGGAGGAUCAUCUGUUUUCAGCAAAUUCAAAGAUAAGAAAGAUUCUGAUAGGAAGAACGAGCUGGGCUGUGCGGAGAGACUUUAUGGUUGUCGAGACAGUUUGAUUAGAAUCAAUGGCGGUUUGAUGCAAAACCAAUCUAAUAAAAUCAAACAUCACAGGAGGUGGAAUAUAGCCAAGAUAAAAGGAGUUCACUGGAUACGCUACCUACUACAGUAUACUGCAAUGGAGAUAUUCUUUGAUGAUUCAAAUGCACCUAUAUUUUUAAACUUCUCCUCCCAAAAGGAUGUUAAAAGGGCCGGGUCUCUCUUAGUUUCCCUCAGGAAUGAUGCCUUGUUUCCUAAAGGAAGUAUUAAAGACAAAAAUAGUGUCAUUUCAUUUGUUGACAGGCGAGUUGCACUUGAAAUAGCUGAGAAUGCCAAGGAAAGAUGGAAAAGGAGGGAAAUCAGUAAUUUUGAGUAUCUAAUGAUUCUUAAUACCCUUGCUGGACGAUCUUACAAUGAUUUAACUCAGUACCCUAUAUUUCCAUGGGUUCUGGCUGAUUAUGCCUCAGAAAAUCUAGAUUUCAACAAGUCAUCUACUUUUAGGGAUCUCUCAAAGCCGGUUGGUGCUUUGGACGAGAAACGAUUUAAGGAUUUUGAAGAUAGAUAUCUUAAUUUCUGCGAUCCUGAUAUACCGAGUUUUUAUUAUGGAUCUCACUACUCUAGCAUGGGAAUCGUUCUUCAUUACCUUCUCAGGCUUGAACCUUUUACAACCCUGCAUCGUAGCCUUCAGGGUGGCAAGUUUGACCAUGCAGAUCGUCUUUUCCAGAGCAUUGACAGCGCUUACAGAAACAGCUUAUCAAAUUCAAGUGAUGUCAAAGAGCUUAUUCCUGAAUUCUUCUAUAUGCCUGAGUUUCUUGAAAAUUCAAAUUCAUAUCAUCUUGGUAUUAAGCAGGAUGGUGAACCUUUAGGUGAUGUUGCUCUCCCUCCAUGGGCGAAGGGUUCUCCAGAAGAAUUCAUUCACAUCAACAGAGAAGCACUUGAAAGUGAAUAUGUGAGCUCUAAUCUCCAUCACUGGAUUGAUCUCAUAUUUGGGUACAAGCAGCGGGGACAGCCUGCCGUUGAGGCAGCAAACAUAUUUUACUAUGUGACAUAUGAAGGCGCAGUUGAUCUGGAAAACAUGGAUGACAUGAUACAGAAAUAUGCUAUUGAGGAUCAGAUUGCGAAUUUUGGACAGACACCUAUCCAGAUUUUUCGUGUGAAACAUCCAAGAAGAGGGCCUCCUAUCCCAAUUGCCCAUCCACUGUAUUUUGCACCACAGUCAAUAACAUUAACUUCAAGUGUUUCUAGCACAAUCAGCCAUAUGUCGGCUGUACUAUUUAUUGGCUUGUUGGAUAACACAAUUAUACUGAUGAAUGAGGGACUCAUAUUAUCAGUGAAGCUGUGGUUGACAACACGGACGCAGUUAGGUGGAAAUUUCACCUUUUCUGGACCACAGGAAAAUUUCUUUGGGGUUGGUUCAGAUGUUAUCUCCCCUCGUAAAAUUGGCACUUUCCUGGCUGAGAACGUCAAAUUUGGAAGACAGCUCUUAGCAACUAUGCAAAUUAACAGUGACAAGUAUUUGAUUUUAUGUGGAAAUUGGGAAAACAGUUUCCAGAUAAUUUCUCUCAGUGAUGGAAGAAUUGUGCAGAGCAUCAGGCAGCAUAAGGAUGUUGUUGGCUGUGUUGCAGUUUCAUCCGAUGGAAAUGUGGUUGCAACUGGAAGUUAUGACACAACUGUUAUGAUCUGGCAUGCGUUUCGAGGCAGACCAAGUGAGAAAAAAAUGAGGACUGCAAAUUUUGAAAUUUCAGAAAAUGAUCAUAUUAUAAUGGAAAGGCCUGUUCAUAUCUUGUGCGGUCAUGAUGACAUCAUAACAUGUUUAUUUGUUAGCACAGAACUGGACAUUGUUGUCAGUGGAUCGAAAGAUGGAACUUGUAUUUUCCAUACACUGCGUGAAGGGAGAUAUGUCAGAUCCAUUCGGCAUCCAUCUGGCUUUGGUUUAUCAAAGUUGGUGGCAACAAGGCAUGGAAGGGUGGUACUGUAUUCUGAAAUUGACCUAUCCUUGCACAUGCAUUCUAUCAAUGGAAAACAUAUUGCUUCGGCAACAUCCAUUGGACGUCUCAAUUGCAUGGAACUUAGUUGUUGUGGAGAGUUCAUGGCUUGUGCUGGUGAGCAUGGGCAAAUAGUUCUGCGUUCUAUGCAUUCUCUUGAUAUUGUUUGGAAGUAUCCUGGAGCUGGGAAGGCAAUUACUUCUCUAGCUAUGACCCGUGAGGAGUGCUUCAUAGCAGGAACCAAGGACGGUAGCUUGCUUGUAUUUUCAGUAGAAACUGCUCUAAUUCGACGAGGGAGCAUGCCACAAACAAGUGUAAAGCCUUCGGGAGCUGGUUGA
RNAcentral lists this ribosomal RNA (9597 nucleotides) under Triticum aestivum (bread wheat). RNAcentral describes it as "partial small subunit ribosomal RNA". Lineage: Eukaryota; Viridiplantae; Streptophyta; Magnoliopsida; Poales; Poaceae. The record is from RNAcentral.